Molecule: ribosomal RNA, 252 nt
Filed under: uncultured bacterium
Lineage: Bacteria
Description: partial 16S ribosomal RNA
Rfam family: Bacterial small subunit ribosomal RNA
Source: RNAcentral
UACGGAGGAUGCGAGCGUUAUCCGGAUUUAUUGGGUUUAAAGGGUGCGCAGGCGGAUUCUUAAGUCAGCGGUCAAAUCGUGGGGCUCAACCCCAUCCAGCCGUUGAAACUGGGGAUCUAGAGUGUGCGAGAGGUAUGCGGAAUGCGUGGUGUAGCGGUGAAAUGCAUAGAUAUCACGCAGAACCCCGAUUGCGAAGGCAGCAUACCGGUGCACAACUGACGCUCAGGCACGAAAGCGUGGGUAUCGAACAGG